UGCAAGGGCACUCUGUGUUAUCAUUUAAUAGUGUGAUAAAACAAUUUGUAACCUUGCCAAAGUAAAGCAGAAUUUGCUUCUCACUUCUUAACUGUAUAACUGGAAGAGAAGUGAUCAAGUUAUGUGACAAAUCUUAU
Molecule: small nucleolar RNA, 137 nt
Filed under: Ceratitis capitata (Mediterranean fruit fly)
Lineage: Eukaryota; Metazoa; Arthropoda; Insecta; Diptera; Tephritidae
Description: small nucleolar RNA psi18S-841/snoR66
Rfam family: Small nucleolar RNA psi18S-841/snoR66
About the family: psi18S-841 is a member of the H/ACA class of snoRNA. This family is responsible for guiding the modification of uridine 841 in Drosophila 18S rRNA to pseudouridine.
Source: Rfam by way of RNAcentral